CCUACGGGAGGCAGCAGUGAGGAAUAUUGGUCAAUGGACGAGAGUCUGAACCAGCCAAGUAGCGUGAAGGAUGACUGCCCUAUGGGUUGUAAACUUCUUUUAUAUGGGAAUAAAAUGUUCCACGUGUGGGAUUUUGUAUGUACCAUAUGAAUAAGGAUCGGCUAACUCCGUGCCAGCAGCCGCGGUAAUAUGGAGGAUCCGAGCGUUAUCCGGAUUUAUUGGGUUUAAAGGGAGCGUAGGUGGAUUGUUAAGUCAGUUGUGAAAGUUUGCGGCUCAACCGUAAAAUUGCAGUUGAAACUGGCAGUCUUGAGUACAGUAGAGGUGGGCGGAAUUCGUGGUGUAGUGGUGAAAUGCUUAGAUAUCACGAAGAACUCCGAUUGCGAAGGCAGUUCACUGGACUGCAACUGACACUGAGGCUCGAAAGUGUGGGUAUCAAACAGGAUUAGAUACCCGAGUAGUC
This 460-nucleotide ribosomal RNA is filed under the name uncultured bacterium. RNAcentral's name for it is "partial 16S ribosomal RNA". It matches the Rfam family "Bacterial small subunit ribosomal RNA", at positions 338 to 795 of the family's 1533-position model. The record is from RNAcentral.